Molecule: small RNA, 123 nt
Filed under: Salmonella enterica
Lineage: Bacteria; Pseudomonadati; Pseudomonadota; Gammaproteobacteria; Enterobacterales; Enterobacteriaceae
Also listed under: 5 other names
Description: partial RtT sRNA
Rfam family: RtT RNA
About the family: This family represents a bacterial cis-regulatory element known as RtT RNA. The exact function of RtT is unknown although it is thought that it may be involved in changing the cellular response in relation to amino acid starvation.
Source: RNAcentral
CGUACGGGGAAGGAUGAGAAGCUUCGACUAAGGUUCGAUUCGAGCGCAGCGAGAAAGCGUUGCCGCAGGCAACGACCCGAAGGGCGAAGCGCGCAGCGCUGAGUCAUCCUUCCCCCACCACCA